Molecule: non-coding RNA, 230 nt
Organism: Pelobates cultripes (western spadefoot toad)
Lineage: Eukaryota; Metazoa; Chordata; Amphibia; Anura; Pelobatidae
Source: the annotation of a GenBank genome assembly
CUUUCUCUCUGUUUACUUGUGUAUUAACUGCUAUUGAUAUUAUUAUUGAUACCCUGGUAUUACACUGUAUAGGUUUAUCUGUUAUUGAUUCUUUACUGUUUUCUAUUUUAUUUAUUAGAGACUUCAUUAUUUGUCUUUUCUCUGCUUGCUUGAUGCUUCACAUCUGUGUGUUUUUUCCUGUGUGCCCAAGGUCCAGACCUCCCCUGUCAUUUACUUCUGUUUAUUACCCC